Molecule: non-coding RNA, 164 nt
Filed under: Peptoniphilus sp.
Lineage: Bacteria; Bacillati; Bacillota; Tissierellia; Tissierellales; Peptoniphilaceae
Description: T-box sequence
Rfam family: T-box leader
About the family: Uncharged tRNA acts as the effector for transcription antitermination of genes in the T-box leader family.
Source: RNAcentral
AAUAGAACUAUGAUGAGGAAUAGUAAAUUAAUUUAGAAUUGUAGAGAGUUUACGGAUGGUGAAAGUAGAUAUUUUGGUUAAUUGAAUCCACCUCUGAGUUUUAAUUUUUAAAGUGAACCGAUAAGGUUAAUUAGGGUGGCAACGCGGGUCUUCUCGUCCCUUUG